CUGCUAUCGGGGUUCGAUUAAGCCAUGCGAGUCGAGAGGUGCUACAAGACCUCGGCGCGCUCAGUAACACGUGGAUAACCUACCCUCAGGUGGGGGAUAACCCCGGGAAACUGGGGAUAAUACCCCAUAGACCAGGGACGCUGGAAUGCCCCCUGAUCGAAAGGUCCGCCGCCUGAGGAUGGGUCUGCGGCCGAUUAGGUUGUUGUUGGGGUAACGGCCCAACAAUUUGAUCGGUACGGGUUGUGAGAGCAAGAGCCCGGAGAUGGAUUCUGAGACACAAAUCCAGGCCCUACGGGGCGCAGCAGGCGCGAAAACCUUUACAAUGCGAGAAAUCGUGAUAAGGGAACCCCGAGUGCCCGUAAAUUCGGGCUGUCCAUCAGCGUAAAAAACUGGUGAAGAAAGGGCCGGGCAAGACCGGUGCCAGCCGCCGCGGUAAUACCGGCGGCUCGAGUGGUGGCCACUAUUACUGGGCUUAAAGCGUCCGUAGCUGGAUUGUUAAGUCUCUUGGGAAAUCCGCCGGCUUAACCGGCGGGCGUUCAGGAGAAACUGGCAAUCUAGGG
This 560-nucleotide ribosomal RNA is filed under the name uncultured archaeon. RNAcentral's name for it is "bacterial SSU rRNA". It matches the Rfam family "Archaeal small subunit ribosomal RNA", at positions 27 to 597 of the family's 1478-position model. The record is from RNAcentral.